CUUUUCCUGAUAAAACCAGUUCGGAUGCAAGGGACAGCUGAGUGCUCUUGCCCCUGCCAGUAGGACCAUGGCCAGGGCUCAUCUCACUGCGGGGCGACCAUCUGCUGCCACUUAACAGCACAGGAAACCACCACUGAACAAAAGCAUCCACUCAUAGAGCAUCCCACCUCCUGCAACAAAAUGGAGGCAUAAAGGCAAUGCUACUUCAUCACAUACAAUUCACAGUGAAGAGAGGACAGCAAACAGCUUAUCCUUGCAGUGCUCCCCUGUGUCCAUCCACUUCCUAUUCUUAAGAUCUUUGAAAAAAGGAUUAGAAGAACAUACACAUCAGCAGAUGACCCUUGAUCUAGUAGACUACCCCAAACACAUGAAAGGUACUCUGGCCAGCAGAGCCAUGGGUAUUACUGGUGUUAUAUUUGGCUAAAAUCUUACCACCAAUCUCAGCUUCUGGCAUGGAAAGGCCACAGAAAGGAUACAAAGCUACAACCUGAAGGUGAGACCCAUCCCUUGCAACCUUUGCAUGAGGUGAAGAAAAUGAAGGAAAUGAAUAAACUGCCCACCUGCUAAAAUUGGUGCUGCAAACUGCCCCCAGGAGAACUGCCAAGGAAUCCAGCCUCAUAUUGCCUGGGGAAUGCAAGAGUUCCACUGUGGCUCCUCAGACUCUGUUCCCAUCCUUGCCCUUCUGCCCAGGAAAUACCAUUUAAUGCAUGUGCCCAGUUACUGCAACAACUUUGAAGAAAGGAAGAGUAAGUCAAAGGCAAUGCAAGAAGGCAGGAUCUGGCAACAGAAGCUGUCAAGAUUCCAAACCCAGAAAUGCAAACACCUACUGUCCAAAUUAUUGUUGUACUGGUAGAAACAGCCUCCAUCCUUUUGAUCAGUCCCACCAGCUAGAAGGAACUGGGGAGACCAAGGUGGUGAGGAAAGCUUGCCUUACUGAGAGUAGAAGUAACUGUUUCUGCACUGCCAAAUACUCAUUGGGAAAAAGAGCAAAACACAGACCAUUAAAUUGCAUCUGUUCAUAAUUUAAUCUUUUGUUCUGUAACUAACAUCAUGUAGCACUGUAUAUUACAAAAGAAAAAAGAAAUAAACUUCUACCAGGCAGGUUGUGAAAACCCA
This is a long non-coding RNA of Lonchura striata (white-rumped munia), 1116 nucleotides long. Lineage: Eukaryota; Metazoa; Chordata; Aves; Passeriformes; Estrildidae. The record is from Ensembl.